RNAcentral lists this ribosomal RNA (489 nucleotides) under uncultured bacterium. RNAcentral's name for it is "bacterial SSU rRNA". It matches the Rfam family "Bacterial small subunit ribosomal RNA", at positions 23 to 507 of the family's 1533-position model. The record is from RNAcentral.
CUCAGAUUGAACGCUGGCGGCAGGCCUAACAACAUGCAAGUCGGAGCGGUAGAGAGGUGCUUGCAUCUCUUGAGAGCGGCGGACGGGUGAGUAAUGCCUAGGAAUCUGCCUAGUGGUGGGGAUAACGUUCGGAAACGGACGCUAAUACCGCAUACGUCCUACGGGAGAAAGCGGGGAUCUUCGGACCUCGCGCCAUUAGAUGAGCCUAGGUCGGAUUAGCUAGUUGGUGAGGUAAUGGCUCACCAAGGCGACGAUCCGUAACUGGUCUGAGAGGAUGAUCAGUCACACUGGAACUGAGACACGGUCCAGACUCCUACGGGAGGCAGCAGUGGGGAAUAUUGGACAAUGGGCGAAAGCCUGAUCCAGCCAUGCCGCGUGUGUGAAGAAGGUCUUCGGAUUGUAAAGCACUUUAAGUUGGGAGGAAGGGUAGUAACCUAAUACGUUGCUACUUUGACGUUACCGACAGAAUAAGCACCGGCUAACUUCGUG